CUUCAAAUUUUUUGCUGGCGUUAAGUUCACUUUGGAAAGGAUUGCAAAAUACAUCUCCAAUACUAUUCGAUAUUUCUCAACUGGUUGUGACCAUUUUUGACCUUUUCGUGAACUUCUCGGAUCGUCAACAACACAAACCUUUAGUUAUUUCCAUAAUUUUCGAACAGCGAUAACCACGGAUGGGAGCUUAGGAAUAUAUGUAAACUAAAGAACAAACGAACGAACGGACGGACAGAAGGACGAACAAACGAUCGGGCAGACAGUCAUAGGAAGGACAUAAAGUUCAUAACGUACUAAAUAAACCGUUGUAACGUUAGAAGUAGCUCACCCUGCAAUAUAAAUUAGGAUGUAUAUAAUUUUGCACCAGCGAAUACAGAUCACUUAAAUAAGGAUGAAGAUAGGGUUAUUGUUUCAGUAUAGGGAAAUGGGGUUCCACAUGCUGUGCCUGGCUGACGCUUUUUAUGGGCAUCCGCCCAUAAAAACAGGGCCGUGGCACAACUCAAUUUUUCCCAAUCUCAAUUUCCCCAUUACUUGGAAAUCUCACUCCUUUCUUGGCACCAAAAUCAGGUGUCUCCUUUACCAUCAUUCUUGCUGCCAAACUCGGAAAAGCUGAAUAAUUAAAAGAUUAUUUAAUAUCCUACAAAUUAAUUUUCUGACAUCCACUCAAUUACAUAAAUCGCUUCAACUCACCACAAGUUAAGCUCUAAGCUUCAACUCUCGGUAAGUAGUAAAAGAAUUACUAUUUUCUUUCAACAAUGAACGGUGGGGACACAAAUAUGGUGGUGACACGUUCAUUUUUACGAGUGAUUUGGAUGUUAAUUUAUUGCGAUUUAUUGGUACAGGUAACUGCUAAGGACAAUUUUUCAUCCAUUAAUUUUGCGACCUCUCUGCCGUGCCCCCACCAGAAAUCUGUGUCAUCGCCGGCCAGCCUGGUAAAUAACAACUUUAACUGGAUUCUGCAACAAUAAGGACCAAGGAACUUGUAUUUCGUAAUGCACUAUAUUUUAUUGAAGUAUAGACUCAUCAAUUACCAUUAGUUGUUGUUCGUGACCUGGUAACAGUGUGAAAUUGUCGGAAACUUCGUUAAAGUUUUACAAGAUUCAAAAAUAGUUUCUCAUAUAAUGAACGAUAUAAUAUUGUGACCUAUUGCCCCUUCCUCCACCAGAUCCGUGUCUCCACCGGUCAAUUUAUCUGAUCUAUCAGUGUUCACCUAUUUGGCCAAACAAGGGUACUUAAAUAAUGUGACUUUGUCAAGACUAUUAAAAAACUUUCAAAACUUCGCUUAAGACUCAUCAAUUACUAUGAGACCUUGUUCGUGACUCGGGAAUAGUGUGAAAUUCUCAGGAACUUCAGUAAAGUUUACCAGGUUCAACCAUAAUAUUAAAAUAAUAGUUUCUUAUCUCCAAAAAUUAAAAAAGCAACUAACGGUGGACACACACAUGCAUAUGGUGGAAACACGUUCAUUUUAAUUACUGAUUCGCCUUCAUGUACUCAAAUUCAGUGUGACUUUCUUCAAAAUCUUCUUAAAAUAAACAAUUAACGGUGGAGACACAUAAAUAUGGUGAAAACACGUUAUUUGUUUCAAGCAGGUUUCAAAUUACUAAUUGCUUGUUAUUUUUCGCAGGAAAUCCAGUUGCUCAAAACAUUUAUUUGAAUUUAAUAAACCGUCGUUUGUCACGGUCCGAAAUAUAAAGCGGUACUAAUUGUGAUAAUUCUUGAAACCAAGAAAAUCGUAAUUACGCCUUUCUGCCAAAGCGUCAGGUUCCAGCAGUGGUGUAAAAUUCUCGACAUCGAUAAGGAAAACGUAUCACCUAAAACUGUCGUUUGCAGCAAACACUUUUAGCCACCUUCAAGAAAUUUCUCAAAGAGUUUUACCGACCUCUCCACCCCAUUUGUGUCUUCACCAUUGUCUGUGUCUCCACCGAAAGGGGGGUGGGUUAAUUUAUCCUUUAUAUGAACAAGAAGAUAAAGAUUAGAAAUAAGUUUCACUACAGUUUGAAGAAGAACCAGAACCACAUUCAACUGUUUCCAUUUUCCUUAUAUACUCAAGGCACGAAAAUUAUUGCUACUAUUUAUAAUAAAAUAUUUUGCAACCGGGAAAUUAUUUCGAUGUUUGUAAAAUUAAAGUAAAAUUGUAUUUAUGCUAAAUCAAUUUUUGUUGCAAUAAAUUUGGUUGUAAAUCUGCAUCACAACAACUUUCAGUUUUUAAUUAAUUAUUCGAACUUAGAAAGUCGCAAAAAUUCUCCAUUCGAGAUGACGAAAAUCUGUACAAAAAUUAAGUCACAUUAAAUCCUGAGCAUGGUUGUAAAACUGCUCUGACAUAUCUUGUCGUUAAACUUACUUAAUAAUUGAUGAUGGUGGGUGGGU
Long non-coding RNA from Folsomia candida, 2367 nucleotides. RefSeq lists it as uncharacterized. Lineage: Eukaryota; Metazoa; Arthropoda; Collembola; Entomobryomorpha; Isotomidae. The record is from RefSeq and is a predicted model, not a curated record. The transcript has 5 exons.